This is a long non-coding RNA of Cydia splendana, 1960 nucleotides long. RefSeq lists it as uncharacterized. The transcript is spliced from 3 exons. Lineage: Eukaryota; Metazoa; Arthropoda; Insecta; Lepidoptera; Tortricidae. The record is from RefSeq and is a predicted model, not a curated record.
CCUGACCCGAGACUAGAAAUGGCGCCGCUACAUGACCCACUGCAAGCAGCUCAACUGCUACUUCGGCCACGAGUGCGAGCAGAUAGAGAGGACCUCUAGGAUCCUCAAUGAGGUCGCGAUCACCAGGUUCAACAAGUGUCGCAUAUCAGAACAGCUGAAACCGAAGCCCAAAGAUGAGAAGGAAAAGAAGAAGUAAGGUUAUGGUUAAGUUAGACUCCGGGAUAGUUAAGUGAGGGGGGAGGGGAACGCAGGUGGAAAAGAAAGUUAUUGUAUGCCUUAUUUCAGUGAGAUAAGGUACAUUGGUGUUUACUGAUUGUUACAGACAGAUUAUUACAUUGUUACACAUAGACAUAAAGUACAAAACAAACUAUUAUACUGUUGUGUUAUUCUUAUGAAUGCUUGUGCCCGCCAUACUAAUGUGAAUGUAAGAAAAAAAAACAGGUUUUUUAUUUGGUUUUACAAGAUUCUUAAAUUCCAUUGUUAAGUAUAUUUUGAUACGAAAUGACACGUUAAAAUUUACAUAAUUAUUGUUUGUUAUGCGAUCUUUAGUGAGAUUAUUCCGGAGUCACUAUUUUAAGUCCUAGUAUUAGAGAAUUUCAAAUAGAUUGUUAAGUUUAAUAUUUGUUUAAUUUAGGGGUUUAAAUGGCAAGGGCAGGGUGGUAUUGUCUGUUAAUCUAAAACUAUAACACACAAGCACAGAAUAUAUAAUAGUACUACCGUACAGAAAGGAAACUUCCUACAAAACCGAAGUUUGACAGCGGUUCAGGGUCGAAUCAUGCUAUCCCUUUCUAAUAUAUGCCACUAUCCCUUUCGGCUAUUUAGGGUUGUCAAAAUUCAAGUGAUUAUCUUAUCUGUGGUGGUGCACGCAAAGGGACGUCAAGUUGUGUCAACCCUAAUGAGCAAUGCUGAGCCGAGCGGAGCCGAGUUUGGCCGAAGUCAGGAGUUUCGCACCCCUGACACGAGUUACUUAAAUCACUAUUGUAAGUCCAUUGAUUGCCAUUCAAAAUGAAGACACAUUUUACCGUAAAUACGAUUUUUAUUUUAGGACGGCAUCUCUGGACGUUAAAAAUAGUGUUUAAAAACUUUUAACCUAUCCACACUUUCAUUCCUAUGAUCCAUUUGUUUAAAACUGUGAUAUUGGCAAUGUUUAUAAGUGUUACUUAUCAGUUACUUACUUAUAAGUUUAUAGUUACUUAUAAGUGUUAUCUGUAUCUUUAGGUAUUUAAAUAAAAGUAAACAAACAUUUUUUACAUUUGUAGGUAGUUAUAAGAUUUAUUGGUUAACCAACCAAAUACAAAACCGCCUGGAUCAGUCACGAACGACCUGACUUUAACCUACAUUAUUUGAUCAUGUAAUGUUUUCAUCUACCCUCAACUGGCUUGAGGGUAGAUUUUGUUUAUUUUUGUUUAAAUACCUAAAGAUGAGUAUAGUUAUGCAAACUGUAUUGGUAUGGUGGUUGCUCUUUUAUCUUUUAGUGUCACGCGUGACUCUCGCACUUACAUAAAAUUGGCGACCACAAUGACAAACUAUAAAAGCGAAACCAUUUUAGGCCCGCAAAUCACUUUAGUAAAUAAUUACAAGACUUUGUAGUUAAUAAUAUUUAUAGUUUUCUUAAGAACUGUAACUUAUUGAUUGAUACAAAGUCUCGUCAAUUUAUCUUUAUUAACUAAUUAGGUACAUUAAUUACUCAUUAAACAUCCUUGACAAAUAUUAUUAACUUUUCAAUACUUGACCUUCGACCCGUUAAAGUUUGGCAUAUUUAUCAAAACAUAAUUAUUUCUGUGUUUCCCGUAUGUCAUUAAUCUAAAUCUAAAGCAGCGGCGGUAGCACGGUCGCUUUUUUAUCGCCUGUCACCAUUCCUGUCACGUUCUAACAAGCAUGUCAGUGCGAAAGUGACGGACAUAGUGACAUGCGAUAAAAAUAGAACCAUGCUGCCAUAGCAGUAGAAUUUAAAAUGAAC